UGCAAGUCGAGCGGGCACCUUCGGGUGUCAGCGGCAGACGGGUGAGUAACACGUGGGAACGUACCCUUCGGUUCGGAAUAACGCUGGGAAACUAGCGCUAAUACCGGAUACGCCCUUAUGGGGAAAGGUUUACUGCCGAAGGAUCGGCCCGCGUCUGAUUAGCUAGUUGGUGGGGUAACGGCCUACCAAGGCGACGAUCAGUAGCUGGUCUGAGAGGAUGAUCAGCCACACUGGGACUGAGACACGGCCCAGACUCCUACGGGAGGCAGCAGUGGGGAAUAUUGGACAAUGGGCGCAAGCCUGAUCCAGCCAUGCCGCGUGAGUGAUGAAGGCCUUAGGGUUGUAAAGCUCUUUUGUCCGGGACGAUAAUGACGGUACCGGAAGAAUAAGCCCCGGCUAACUUCGUGCCAGCAGCCGCGGUAAUACGAAGGGGGCUAGCGUUGCUCGGAAUCACUGGGCGUAAAGGGCGCGUAGGCGGCCAUUCAAGUCGGGGGUGAAAGCCUGUGGCUCAACCACAGAAUUGCCUUCGAUACUGUUUGGCUUGAGUAUGGCA
Molecule: ribosomal RNA, 553 nt
Filed under: uncultured Methylobacterium sp.
Lineage: Bacteria; Pseudomonadati; Pseudomonadota; Alphaproteobacteria; Hyphomicrobiales; Methylobacteriaceae
Description: bacterial SSU rRNA
Rfam family: Bacterial small subunit ribosomal RNA
Source: RNAcentral